Molecule: ribosomal RNA, 497 nt
Filed under: uncultured bacterium
Lineage: Bacteria
Description: partial 16S ribosomal RNA
Rfam family: Bacterial small subunit ribosomal RNA
Source: RNAcentral
GAUGAACGCUGGCGGCGUGCCUAAUACAUGCAAGUCGAGCGAACGGACGAGAAGCUUGCUUCUCUGAUGUUAGCGGCGGACGGGUGAGUAACACGUGGAUAACCUACCUAUAAGACUGGGAUAACUUCGGGAAACCGGCGCUAAUACCGGAUAAUAUUUUGAACCGCAUGGUUCAAAAGUGAAAGACGGUCUUGCUGUCACUUAUAGAUGGAUCCGGGCUGCAUUAGCUAGUUGGUAAGGUAACGGCUUACGACGGCAACGAUGCGUAACCGAACUGAGAGGGUGGUCGGCCACACUGGAACUUGGACACGGUCCAGACUCCUACGGGAGGCAGCAGUAGGGAAUGUUCCGCAAUGGGCGGAAGCCUGACGGAGCGACGGCGCGUGAGUGAUGAAGGUCUUCGGAUCGUAAAACUCUGUUAUUAGGGAAGAACAUAUGUGUAAGUAACUGUGCACAUCUUGACGGUACCUAAUCAGAAAGCCACGGCUAACUACGUG